Molecule: unclassified non-coding RNA, 245 nt
Filed under: Chalara sp.
Lineage: Eukaryota; Fungi; Ascomycota; Leotiomycetes; Helotiales
Also listed under: 2 other names
Description: partial internal transcribed spacer region
Rfam family: Eukaryotic small subunit ribosomal RNA (bases 1-46)
Source: RNAcentral
AAGUCGUAACAAGGUUUCCGUAGGUGAACCUGCGGAAGGAUCAUUACCGAAGUCAAGGCCCCUUUGGGGGCUAAACUUCCACCCUUUGUUUACCUUACCAUUGUUGCUUUGGCGGGCCGCCUUAGGCCACCGGCUCUCGAGCUGGUGCGUGCCCGCCAGAGACCCCCAAACCCAAACCAUAUUUAGUGUCGUCUGAAAACAAGUUUAAAUUAUUAAAACUUUCAACAACGGAUCUCUUGGCUCUG